Molecule: long non-coding RNA, 3590 nt
Filed under: Homo sapiens (human)
Lineage: Eukaryota; Metazoa; Chordata; Mammalia; Primates; Hominidae
Description: HSALNT0372442
Source: RNAcentral
ACCAGGUCCCGCCCCCAGAGUUUCUGAUUCAGCAGGUCUGGGGUGGGGCCCAAGAAUUUGCAUUUCUAACAAGUUCCCAGGUGCUGCUGGUCCAGAGCCCACCCUUGGAGAACCACUGGGCUAUAGAAUGAUGUCAAGGGCUGGAGAGGGAGGCUACAGAGUGGGUCUAGGUCCAGGUACAGUCUCAGAACCACACUGCAAAACUGGCUUAGUCAGGUAGCUGCUGUAUCUGCUGCUUCCACUGUGAACUCAAAAACCACAUUGCCUGUGCUGCAGGCCGGAAAGCUGCUGAACCAGGAAGCUGUGCUGAUGCUGCUGACUGCCCCUGAGGUUAGAGAUUGACUAGACAUAGUGCCACUGUCAUCCCUGCUGGAGAAGGUCCGAAGCACCUCCACCUCUGUGCUUCCAGAGGGGCACUGUGGUGGCCACUUAAAAUGCUCAGGCUAUACCAUGCACUAGAGCAUCUACCUGGGCAAGGGAUAUGCUGUAUGACACUCUCCUGAUGCUGGGCAUGGCUGUGAGCCAAAGCACCCAGGCAGCCCUGCCAUCAGAAGGGUAAACCACGGACACCUGAUGCCUUCCUGAAGGAAGAGCACUACGCCUGCCAAACCAUCAAGCGUUGAUGCUCCAGCGCCUUCUACCCGUGGUUCUCCAGCCUCAGCAGAAGAGAGAGAAAUUGAUGACCCUGUCGUUGUAGCAUCCCCAUCACCCAGCAAUUAAUUUUAGUUCAAUGCUUCAAACGCUCUUCAGGCGCAGUGUGCGUUCAGCUGUGUCAGCUAAUGCAAAUGGGGGAUCUCAGAAGUCUUAAUGAAGUAACUAUCCCUGAACACUGGGAUCAAUACUCAGCAUCCAGCUGUCAAAUCAACACCAAGCGUUUCACUCGUCGCCCAGCCUAGAGUGCAAUGGCGCUAUUUCGGCUCAUUAUAACCUCCGCCUCCCGGGUUCAAGCAAUUCUUCUGCUUCAGCGUCCCAAGUAGCUGGGAUUACAGGCCUUCAGUUGCAAAGUUCUCCAUUGUCAGAUUACGCUGCCUGAUGGGCAUGAAAAGUCCACAAAAGAGAAUUUUCUGAUGUGAGAAUGGAGGGUGUUGCCUGCAACUACCCCAGAUCCCUGCGGUGGCAGUUUAAGCCGCCUCCUGGAGCAGAUUGUUAAGCUGAUGCGAGUCUGGGCUCUGCCUCACCACUUGUCUCAGAGAAUGUCCAGUGCUAGGAGACUCAUAAGUUGGAGAGAAACGGCCUGAUUUAUAGAAACUGAGCGAGACUCCGGACCACCUGAUGCAGAGAAACCUGUGACCUGAAAAAGUCUAUUUGUGUUUCCUCUAGGAAUCUCGGCCAAGAAGACAGGGACAAGCUCCCAACUCUGACUACCCCUUUUACAGGGAAAAAAAAAAAAUCCCGUGCCUUCUUUGCAGCAAGUGACAAAUCCUUGUCAUAUCGAGAUGGCUUUUCCUCCUCCUCUUCAAACAUCUUUUAGCAGCAACAGCAGCUCAAGUAACUGGAAUUAUUUCAGAGUUAAAAUGCAGGCUUUGUAGACCCUCUUAGACAGACAGAUUCAAUUUCAAAGGAAACUUCUUUGGCUGGGUACUCAGUGAGUGUUACACAGGGAUUUGGGGAGUUAAUAUUCACUGUUUCUGUUGUUGGAGAAAAGGAAAGCAGAGUUGCUCUUUCUCAUUACUCUCCCCAACGCACAUCUGUUUCCUCUCGUAUCUUGGAAUUAGGAAGAUGGAGGAGACUUAAGUGGUGACCCACCUAGCCUCCUGAUGCAUGCUGGGCUCACUUUAAAACUCCCAAAACAGAUGGCAGUUGAUCACGGUUUUAAAGAUCCCAGCAUAGACUUUCUGCAGCCUCCCUUGUUAGCCACUAUCAGCGCUUAACAUUCUGUCAUCUGAAUAACUCCUUAAAAAUGAUAGCAAUGGUAGUAGAAAUUUAAAAGGAACCUCCCAAAAAACAUGCAAAAGCUUACCACCCCAGUAAAUCACCCGCAACAAUGUCGCAACAGUUUAAAUUUACUGCAGAGAGAGCUGAAGUUUAGGAGACACAGCUUUAUAAUAUUUUUGAGAGAUAGUUGAGUGCAAAUGAGUCCUGUUCCUCUUGCAUCAGGGCCUGCUCCACUGAGUCAUCCUGCCUUCAGAAGCUUCCAGCUAAGUGGCAGGCCCCGGCCAUAGGCUCCCUGUGUCCCCAGCCUCCAGAGAACACACAAUGUUCUCAUCGCCCUUAGCUCCAUUCCAGAAGGGGCCUGCAGUUCUGCAGCUUAUCAGGGGUCUACUGGGAAGUGAGAUGUCACUGUCCCUUUCUGGCCCUGCAUUGUCUGUGAGUGGCUCUCCUGGAUUAAGAGUUGGCAAAGUAUGGCCAGUGGCCAGGACUGGCCUGCUGCCUGUUUUUGUUUAACCCGUGAGCUAAGAAUAGUUUUUACCUAUUUUAAGUAGUUGAAAAAAAAAUCAAGAGAAGAAUACUAUUUCGUGAUAUGUGAAAAAUCACAUGAAAUUCAAAUGUAAGUGUCCAUAAAUAAAGUCUUACUGGAAGACAGCCUUGCUCAUUUAUUUCUGUCUCAUUCGCUACUGUCUGCGGCUGCCUUCACGCUACAAUGGCAGUACUGAGUAGUUGUGACGGGCACUGUAUGACAGCAAAUCCUAAAGUAUUUGCCAUCUGGCCCUUCACAGAAAAAGUUUGCUGACCCUGGCUUUCGAGCCUCUCAUCACUUUGGGAUUCAUCUCUUUACUUUCCCCAGAGUGAGGGAGGCAGUAACGUUCCUCGUGAGUGCUUAGUCCUUGCUCCCAAGGCAAUAAACCCCCCAAAACCCCUCUCUUUCUGCAGUCUUCUUGUUGGCUUGAUAGUGGUAGGGCUGGUUCAGCCAAGGUCACAGUUGGAGGGCAGGAAGGGGGUACAGCGAAGGACGACGGGGGUGUCUUCUCUAGUCCUGUUUGCAGCAAUCUUUAGAAUGCAAAAUAAUUAAGAAGAAACUGCUGUUUUUUGGCUGUGGGAUGCAAUUCGAAUUCUGGAAAAUUAGAAUCAACAGAACGUGGGAUGUGGGAGUCCAGGACAACUCCCCUGUUUUGGCUGUGUUUGGUGCCAUGUGUGGAGGUGGGAGAGAUGGGAGAAAGAAGAGGUUUGGGCAGGGGGAGGGAAGAAUCAAGAUUCUGCUUUGAAUGGACGAAGGUUGUGGUUUGUUGAGAGGACAACUAGAUAACUGGCCACUUGAAGAUGGGAUGGAAGUCUGAAUCUGCAAGGAGUCACAGAUGAAUGGUAUGGAAAGCUGUGGUAGUGGAUGAGAUCAUACGAACGGUGGGUGCAGAUGGAAACGAGAAGCCAUCUAAGGACUCGUAAUGGGCUCCUCAACACUUGGAAGUUGGGUAGAGGAAGAAGACCGCAUGAGGGCAGGAUCCUGAAUGUUCCACUCACUGCUAUAUCCCUAGCACUGGUUACAGUGCUUGGCACACACUGCAUGCUCAAUAAAUUAUUUGUUGCCCAUAUAAGUGAACGUGAAUUCCAAUGGACUAGCAUCUUCCACUCUCAACAUAAACAAAAACAACAGCAACAUUGCAAUUCCCUAUCUUCUCUUCCCUGAUCUCUUUCUCAUUCUGUCUCUCCUUCCC